Molecule: ribosomal RNA, 274 nt
Filed under: uncultured bacterium
Lineage: Bacteria
Description: partial 16S ribosomal RNA
Rfam family: Bacterial small subunit ribosomal RNA
Source: RNAcentral
AUACGGAGGGUGCAAGCGUUACUCGGAAUCACUGGGCGUAAAGGACGCGUAGGCGGGAUAGUAAGUCUGAUGUGAAAUCCUAUGGCUCAACCAUAGAACUGCAUUGGAAACUACUGACCUAGAGUAUGGGAGGGGGAGAUGGAAUUAGUAGUGUAGGGGUAAAAUCCGUAGAUAUUGCUAGGAAUACCGAAAGCGAAGGCGAUCUCCUGGAACAAUACUGACGCUAAGGCGUGAAAGCGUGGGGAGCAAACAGGAGUAGAUACCCUAGUAGUCC